Pan troglodytes (chimpanzee) is the source of this 2155-nucleotide long non-coding RNA. RefSeq lists it as uncharacterized. The transcript is spliced from 4 exons. The record is from RefSeq and is a predicted model, not a curated record. NCBI's taxonomy places the organism in Eukaryota, Metazoa, Chordata, Mammalia, Primates, Hominidae.
GUUGUGGAAUGUAGAGUGGUUAGCUUUCUUUUCAAGAAUGUAUUUCCAUACUUCUUUUGGGUUUCUAGAAAAGAAGGUACAUUUCCUGGAUUUGAGCUUUAGCCACAGAGAGUAUCUGGGACCAGAAACACAGGAUCUCUAUUAAAAGAACACGAAACGUCACUUCCACACGACCUGCAAUUUCUAGAAUGGAGAGAAAGCUUCAGUAAACAUUCAGUAAUAGCAUGCAACAAAGGCAAGUAAAGGCUGUAAUAGAACACUGGCAUGGUGUUCUUAAAAGAAUAAUAUUAUUUGUCCUGUAUUUAGCCAACAUAAAGAUGUAUUGCUCUUGUUUUCUCAUGGUGGGAGAUAUGAAGUUAUGAAGAGAUAGUUACUGGAUCAAAAUAGGAAGAAAUGAUGCCUGGCAGCUAGAAAAAAAUAUUCAUGUGCAUUGAUUACACAAUAAACAAGUAAAUACGAUGUCACUAUCAAUCACGCUUCGACUGAGUACAGCCAAACCAGGAUACUCAGGGACUUGGAAUCUGUUACCAGACUUUUAUUUAGUACAGACACAGCGCCAGGGGGCUGAGCAUUCUUCAGCAACACCCUUUGGACCCCUUUCUACACCAUCAUGCUGUAUGAACAGAAGGGUUGGGGACAUGAAGGAGCAGCUCAGCUAAGGUGACCCAGAUGGUUGGGCUCAGAGCUGGAAGAACACCGUGGUCUCCUGACUCCCAAUUCCUGCAUCUGUCCUGCUUGUAAGAGGCUUGCCAAGAACAGGAGCUUUUGUUUGUAGGUCUCUAGGGAUGGCCACCGCAGGGAGUGUGAUUUGAAGAUGGGGUCGGCGUGACGUUACAGGCCCCCUUUAGGCUCUGCUGGGUUGCAGGCCAGCUCUCUGGGCUGCCUUUCUGAUGGCUGCUAUUUUAAAGGCAGAUAGGAUGAAGUUAGCAACAACUUAUAUCAUUAAACUAGCAAGGGCUCAGGAGGGGCAGCCCCCUUCUGGGAAUGUGCCUAGCUCCUGCUCCAGAAUGGAGGAGUUUCUGUGGCUCUAGGAGAGCUGGCCUUCUAUGGAGUCUGAGCAAUGUACCGCACGGGGAGGAGAAGACGCUGCCAGAAGAUACCAGUGUCUCUAUCCAGAGACGUUUCCAGGACACCACGUUAAACAGCAGAGACACUAGAAGCCAAGGCACCCAUGGUCUGGUGUGGAUGUGUGCCUCCUGUGCCUCAGUGGCAUCAUCUGUACCAUGGGAGGUGUGUAAUGAGGGGUGAGAUCACGUCUGUGAGGGCACGUACGUAGUAGAUGCCCAGGAAGUGCCAGUCCCCAUCUCCUUCCCAGUUUCUUCAAAGCCUUCUGGAAGGCACUGGCAUAGCCCAGUCCUGAGGCACUGCUUUUUCUUUCAUGGAUGAUCAGGAGCUUCUGUGAUUUCUUCCCCCUCACUCUUCAUUUUGCCAAGAUGUUGCCCAUAGUAACCUCAGCAGUGGAGCGAGGAUUCUGCACUGUUCCACUGCCCUGGGGCUGCACAUCCACGUGAGCGGGGCCGACCCGUCCCAGAGCGCUUUGCCCUCAGAAGGCAGCAUCACCUGCAGGAGCAAUGCCAUGGACAGCUCUGGCUUGUCCUCCAGGGCCCUGGCAUGGUCAGUGAGAAAAUGCCUCUGGGGCAUGGGCUUCUCCCGUCAGUCAAGUUCAGAAGGCUUCCUGGGUGGCAAAAAUGACCUGGGCACCUGCACCUGGGCCUGGGCUGGACAUCAGUCCUUGGCAGAUGGGGAAGGUUGGCGACCAGCAAGGCACAGAAUAAGGACACACGGUCCCAGCAGACCCUUGGGAUGACCUUGACCACUUGGACCUUGGAGAGAGAGUGGAGAGGAGAAGAACAGAGGGCAAAGCCACAUGGAAGGGAGGGUGCAGGUGGCUGGUGGCUGGAACUCCUAGAGGCUGAGCAGUGGGGGUUGCAGGAGAGAACUGGCUCCUUCUAGACAGGGGAAUAUCGUGGUUAGGGUUCUGGGAUCAGAUUCAAUCUGGGCUCUGUCACCUACUAGCUGGGGAACAAAUAAUUGCGCCUUGGAUCAUCACCUAUAAAACUAAUAAUAGCUACUAAUCAGAUUGAUGUAAGUGCCAGGAUUAAAUGAGAGAGUCUACAAGCUAUAAAAAGUGCUAUGUGGCAGCUGCCUUUAAACU